Molecule: long non-coding RNA, 2566 nt
Organism: Amphiprion ocellaris (clown anemonefish)
Lineage: Eukaryota; Metazoa; Chordata; Actinopteri; Pomacentridae
Source: Ensembl
GGGGGCAGGUGGGGCAGGGGGGCGUUGGUCACGUGGAGGGCGGCUGCUUCUCCUUCACCUGCCUGGUUCCACUCCUCACAGCAUCAAAGCCAAGAAGACGAUGCUUGUGCAGCGGUUUGAAUAGAAAGAUGCAUCUUCUGUCACACUGUUUAUGUCAGUUUUUUAAGUUCCGAGACGUUCGCAGUUCACGUGUUUGUAUUUGCAUGUCGCUCACCGUGCUUGAAUUAUUUAUUGAUAUCAUCGGUGCCGUAUUUGAACAUUUUACUGUGCUGGAUUAUUUUAGUAAUGAGAAUAUUAAAUGGCCAAGUGUUGUGAACAGUAAGGAGAACAGUGAUGGAAAUGUUAAUUGAAAUUGUUCCUGGAAAACAAUUUGUCAGAAAAAAUCAGCUAUUUGAGAGUCAGCUUUAUUUAUGUAACUGUAUUUAAUAAUAUUGUGUUUAUUAGUUCCUUUUUAUUACAGUAAUUUUAGUGAAUUUUGUACGAACCUGGAUCAUCUUUCCUUAACCCUCCUGUUGUCCUCAUUUACGAGCACCAAGAAAUAAUGUUUCUUUGUCUGAAAAAAAAAUCAAAAAUUCAGCAAAAAGAUUCACCAAAUUUCUGAAAAUUUGAAAAACCUUUAGGAAGAAAAUUCCAAUAAUUCCUUAAAAGUUUCCCUUAAAAGUUUUAUUUUAAAAAAGAUUCCCCAAAUUUCUGAAAAUUUGAAAAACCUUUAGGAAGAAAAUUCCAAUAAUUCCUUAAAAGUUUCCCUUAAAAGUUUUAUUUUAAAAAAAAUUCCCCAAAUUUUGGAAGAAAAUUCCUGUAAAUAUUUUUCAAAAAUGAGUAAAAAUCUUCCAAAAAACUCCUAAAAAUAUCUAAAGUGAUUCCAUAUAUAUCAGUAAAAUUUUUAAGAUUCUCUUUAAGAACAUUCACAAAAAAAAAUCAACCAAAAUCCAGCGAAAUUUGCUGGAUUUUGGUUGAUUGUUUUGUGAAUGUUCUUAAGAAACGUUUUCAACAUUUCUCUUUUUCCACCAAAAAAUGUUCAAAGAUUUCCCAAAAAUGUUGAAAAUGUGGACAUCAGAAGUUUCACUGUGAAAUUAUAUUUUCCACAUUUUCAAACUUUAAAACGGGUCAGUUUUGACCCGCAGGAUGACAUGAGGGUUAAUAUUCAGGAUGUUACUUUGGGUUGUAGUUUAUUCUCUGAUGUGCUUUAUUUCUCACCCACUCAUUCACUGUCACACGGUUCUUGCUUUAGUGACUUAGUUCUUUAAAAUUUCACAAUAAGAGCACAGAAAGAAAUUCUGAGACGUGGAUUAGAGGAAUAAACAGUAAACCAAAUACACAGCUGUUUAUUUCUUGCAGUGAUUUGAAGGCAUUUGUUGGUUUGCAAUGUAAAUGGUCUCAAUUAUGUAUUUGUUAUUUUCUAUGGAGUUUUGUUUUGUUUUUUUAAACGCACAUCAUACCAGAGGUGGUACAAUAAUCCUGCACAAACCCAGAGCUGGAGGCAUUUGUUAAUAGAACAGUUUUUAAAUCCAAAUACAGAAAAUUCACUGGUUUCAGCUUCUCAGAAGUGCAUAUUUGCUAUGUCUUUGCGAUCUCCAGUGACUGUUAAGAAAAUCUUUCGAUAUUGGAGUGUUGAUUGGACAAAGGAAGAAAUUAAAAUUCGACAGCCCAACACUUACAGGUGUUUUUACUUCAUGCUAUCCCACUUGGAUGUUUGAGUGUUGUUGUGAAGAUUUCUUUUACUGUUUACCACCUACUGAAGGGCAAAUAUUUGUCUGACUUUACCUUAAAUCGGAUUUUAAGAGGUAUAGUAGAGGUACAAACAUGGUUUUCUAACCUCACAACUUAAAUUCUCAAAUGCACAUACAGUGAGGAUGAAGUUCAAGUAGGAAACAUCUUGUGUGUUUUGCAGUUACAUUUCUCAAACCAGUAUAGUUUUCUUGCUCAUAGGUUGUAGAUUUUUAAAUAGGAAGUCAUAUUGGGAGCUAUACUUUAACCAGAAUGUUGAUAUACAUCAAACCAUUUCCAUAAAGAACAGCCAGCAAAACAUUUUUCCAACAGCACCCCUUAUGUAGCUGGUGAAGAACUUAGAAGGCUUUUCUGAAAAAUACAACACUGUGAAACAGCAACAUCAAAAAGUGGUUCACCCUAAAGAUAAAACCACCAAACACAAGCUGAGCAAUGUUGUAGAUGCAGUCCAAUGCAGCAUGAGUGCACAGAUUUAUUUAUACGGUUAUUUAAUAGGGACAGAACAAGAAGCAUUGUUACAAAAACCGAUGCCAUGUUCAUAGGUCAAUAGCAGACGGAUAUAUAGGGAAGAGUUAACUGUUUCAUAAGUGCAAGGUAUAUUACAGAAGAGUCAAUUCCUUAGGCAUCUAAAUGACAAGGGAACGGGACACUCUUUUGAGGACUGUAAUGUUCAUAUUGUAGGCAGAGAUGGUUUGAAAGAGGAGUUAAGAUAACCAUCACAACAUGUCAUUCAAAUUACUUCACAUAGUAAGGUGGAGAAAUUAUGAAAUUACAGAGAGAAAGCCAACAAAUCUGGAAUAAAACACCUCAAUUUUAACAGGAAAAACCUCCAGCAGAA